UACGUAGGGUGCGAGCGUUGUCCGGAAUUAUUGGGCGUAAAGGGCUCGUAGGCGGUUUGUCGCGUCGGGGGUGAAAUCCUACGGCUUAACUGUGGGCUUGCUUUCGAUACGGGCAGACUAGAGGUAUGCAGGGGAGAACGGAAUUCCUGGUGUAGCGGUGAAAUGCGCAGAUGUCAGGAGGAACACCGGUGGCGAAGGCGGUUCUCUGGGCAUGAUCUGACGCUGAGGAGCGAAAGUGUGGGGAGCGAACAGG
Molecule: ribosomal RNA, 253 nt
Filed under: uncultured bacterium
Lineage: Bacteria
Description: partial 16S ribosomal RNA
Rfam family: Bacterial small subunit ribosomal RNA
Source: RNAcentral